CAGCAGGUUUGGCAAUUGAGACUAUAACCGAUGACAGGGAUACAACAUAUGAAGAGGAUAUCAAAUCUGCUGGGACCAAGAAAAGUGAUUCAAAAAGGUUAAAAUGACGUUAGAACUUUUGUGAAAAAAUGAGGUUCGACUCUGUUCCUAUAUUAAUGAUAUUCAAGGUCAGGGAUAUGGAAAGAAAGCAGGUCACUCAAUGUUCUUUCUUGAGAAUAUUUUUGUUCCACCAAUCAAAUUCCGCCCUCCCACUAAAGGAGGUGAUAUGGUAUCGGAGCAUGCUCAUACUGUUUUGUUGAGAAGGAUUUUGCAGUCUAACAUAAGAUUAGGGGAUGCCCAUCUAAACAAGAAGGAUCCCUCAAUGGUUUUAGCCAGGUGGGUGGAACUUCAGCAAUCUGUAAAUGUGCUCUUUACCAGUAACACUUCUGGUUGCCAUUGAAAAUCUUUCCACAUAACAAGCAGAAGUGGAGGUUGAGGUUCGAGGUCCUCCAGUUUCAAAAUUGUUUGAUCAUGAAGGAAAUCCAACAAAGGCCAUUGAAGGAUUUUCCCGUAGAUAUUCUGUUCCACUGGACUUGGUAUACCGAAAGGUUGAUGGAAAAACAGAAUAUGUUUAUGCUCGUGUGAAGGAGCUUUCAAGAUAUUCUUUAGAGGUUCUGUCUGAAGAUUUGCCUGCUACUAUUUCUAAGAUAUCAUUUCCAAAGACGAUGAAAUGCAAUUCCCAGGUAUGUGGGAUUUGAGGCAGAUGAAGAACCAGAAAUCUCCCAAAUACGAUCUUCCGUUGAACAAGAUAUUUAAAGAACAAGAUUUUUUUCUCUUCUAUCAGAAGGUUAAUAAUUUUUAUUAGAAGAUACUUAUGUAGGAUACAAUAUUUUGGUUUUUUAUAGUUUAUUAGUAGUAAAUUCUAAGUGGUCUAAUGUAUAUUUUGAUAUGGGUAUGUUUAAUUUAGUGUGAGAUGUAUGAAUACUCAUUUAUGA
Molecule: long non-coding RNA, 974 nt
Organism: Arachis duranensis
Lineage: Eukaryota; Viridiplantae; Streptophyta; Magnoliopsida; Fabales; Fabaceae
Exons: 7
Source: RefSeq, a predicted model, not a curated record